UAGGAGUUAGGGGUUUAAUAAAACUUCCUUUUUCGUUUUCUUGUGAUUCCUAUUUUAAAUGCAGAUGAUAUUUUAUUCGAAAGGAAGUUUUCUUCAGCACUCACAUCUCUUUCUAAUCAUCCCCUCCCCAACCUAAAUUCCAUGAAAAUUUCUCUGACUAACUUGUAUUUUUUUUUUCUGUUCAGAUGAGUGUCAAAUGCCUGAACACUUUUGGAUGGUGAAGCUCCUGGGUCCUAUAAACUGUCUCUGAAGUUAAUAGGAGUUUUGCUGUCUUGGGAUAGUUUUAGAUCUUAUGCCAUUUACAUAAGUUUCAGUCAAGUAGAUUAUAUAUAUUCUACAAUGUUAUAUUUAGUAUUUUUAUUUGCAGUGUCUAAAAACAUUUUGAGGCAUUUUACUUGUGUGUUUUAGAUUUUCUAAAAUUUAAAUUUAGGUUCGCAAACUGAUUUGAAAGCAGAGUUUAAAUUGAAUUUGACUUCUUAACCAAUUUUAAAGCAUGCAUGUGGUAUAAAAGUUGCUGUUAGAGAUACUUAGGGCUCAAGUAAAUGAAAAUUAUUCAUAUGGAUUGGUUAAAUAAUAAUCAUAAAUAGUAACAAAACAAAUGACAUUUAAAAUUAA
RNAcentral lists this long non-coding RNA (615 nucleotides) under Marmota monax (woodchuck). The record is from RNAcentral. Lineage: Eukaryota; Metazoa; Chordata; Mammalia; Rodentia; Sciuridae.